Molecule: long non-coding RNA, 446 nt
Organism: Syngnathus typhle (broad-nosed pipefish)
Lineage: Eukaryota; Metazoa; Chordata; Actinopteri; Syngnathiformes; Syngnathidae
Exons: 3
Source: RefSeq, a predicted model, not a curated record
CCCCCCUGCGCAGACCUCCACUAGGCCGGGAUGACUGUUCAGCUGCGGCGGGGAGUGGCCUCCCUCCGGUCGGCACGACGAAUUUGUUUCUUUUUUCUUUCUUUUAGCUUCCAUAAUGUUACCGGGCGCUGACGCAAACCCACGCCCGGCAGGAGAGCUCAAAAGCCGGUACUGAAAUCACCCUCAGUCAUGGUACAGUCCAUGGUAGUCUGCCAGGUGAGCGCAAUUGUAGUAAUUAACAAGUCUAUUUAAGUUCCGCGUUUUUAAGCGUUCGGCCAUUUCGUUCAACCAUGGGGAGGAAAAAGGAUCUCUCUGCUGUCGAGAAGCGUGAAAUCGUUCGAUGCCUUGGACAAGGUAUGCAGACAUUCGAUAUUGCACGAAAGCUUAAGCGCGACCAUCGAACUUUGAAGAAAUUCGUCGCUGAUUCGGAGCAAACGCGCGUUCGU